UGGGGAAUAUUGGACAAUGGGCGAAAGCCUGAUCCAGCCAUGCCGCGUGUGUGAAGAAGGUCUUCGGAUUGUAAAGCACUUUAAGUUGGGAGGAAGGGCAGUAAGCGAAUACCUUGCUGUUUUGACGUUACCGACAGAAUAAGCACCGGCUAACUCUGUGCCAGCAGCCGCGGUAAUACAGAGGGUGCAAGCGUUAAUCGGAAUUACUGGGCGUAAAGCGCGCGUAGGUGGUUCGUUAAGUUGAAUGUGAAAGCCCCGGGCUCAACCUGGGAACUGCAUCCAAAACUGGCGAGCUAGAGUAGGGCAGAGGGGGGUGGAAUUUCCUGUGUAGCGGUGAAAUGCGUAGAUAUAGGAAGGAAAACCAGUGGCGAAGGCGACCACCUGGGGUCAUACUGACACUGAGGUGCGAAAGCGUGGGGAGCAAACAGG
Molecule: ribosomal RNA, 429 nt
Filed under: Pseudomonadota bacterium
Lineage: Bacteria; Pseudomonadati; Pseudomonadota
Description: Proteobacteria bacterium partial 16S ribosomal RNA
Rfam family: Bacterial small subunit ribosomal RNA
Source: RNAcentral